GAUAAAAUAUUGUCCAGAAAUGGUCAAGAAAGUCGGCCAAAGAGCAGCUCCUUUAUAUGGAUUGAAAUCAACAAAUUUUGCCCAUUUUUAACUUAGACAAAAAAAAUUCCAGCUUUCUAGGUUUUUCUCUCUUGUUCUAUCUUAGCUAUGAAGCAACCCUAUAAUUUCAUAAGGGUUAUUGGGAUUUACCUUCCUUCCAAGACAAAGGGAUUAAGAUAUUAAAGAUAUACAUAUUAAGAGGCUAAACUACCAAGGAAAUCAAGGCACAGGUACAUCAGCUCAUCACCUCACUAGUAGGAGCGCAGGCUAUUCAGUGACUAUUGGUGAGCUCCAGGUUGAUUCGGGUCUUUUCGAGUCUGUUCCAUAUAUUUUGGUAUCGUGCAGUAAGUCAAGAGUAGGGCGGGAUUUUGUCCCGACCCUAACUAAGUCUAUGUAUCUUUUACAGGCUUUGUAGACUAAUGAAAGUUAUGGUAAUGUCUUACCUUUAGACGUGGUGGCUCCAACAGCCAAGUGUUUUAUAUAUAAGUUUGUGCUUAGCUAUGUAAUUAUUCUCAUCGAUACAUAAUAUCAUAUUUUUCUA
Molecule: long non-coding RNA, 580 nt
Organism: Capsicum annuum
Lineage: Eukaryota; Viridiplantae; Streptophyta; Magnoliopsida; Solanales; Solanaceae
Exons: 3
Source: RefSeq, a predicted model, not a curated record